Molecule: non-coding RNA, 293 nt
Organism: Paramuricea clavata
Lineage: Eukaryota; Metazoa; Cnidaria; Anthozoa; Malacalcyonacea; Plexauridae
Source: the annotation of a GenBank genome assembly
CCCCCUUUGAUCGAUAUGCCGUCCUCCCCUCAGCGGAUGUGGCCUGCAUAAUACAUCCACCAUUAACCUAGCUUGCUUAAUUUAAAUGUAUUUAACCACAUCAAGAGCUGAUGUAAUAAUACAUCAAUUGUCAAUUUAACUCUGCAAUCCGUAACGACUGAUUUGCAUACAGCACACACAAGGCAAGAUAAACACAGACUAUUUCACAUCAGUGACCAUGAUUUAGUUACAACAUUUACAACCAAAUGGAUACCAAGUUAUUAAGCAAAUUCCUUCAAAUUUAAUUGCAACAC